UGAUGAGCUUGACCUGCCAUAUCAAACUUUUGUGGUGCGCAGUGACAUGGGGUGUGGAAGC
RNAcentral lists this transfer RNA (61 nucleotides) under Chroodactylon ornatum. Lineage: Eukaryota; Rhodophyta; Stylonematophyceae; Stylonematales; Stylonemataceae. The record is from RNAcentral.